Molecule: ribosomal RNA, 301 nt
Filed under: uncultured bacterium
Lineage: Bacteria
Description: partial 16S ribosomal RNA
Rfam family: Bacterial small subunit ribosomal RNA
Source: RNAcentral
CAGUCGCCACGGUAAUACGGAGGGCGCGAGCGUUACCCGGAUUUACUGGGCGUAAAGGGCGUGUAGGCGGCCUGGGGCGUCCCAUGUGAAAGGCCACGGCUCAACCGUGGAGGAGCGUGGGAUACGCUCAGGCUAGAGGAUGGGAGAGGGUGGUGGAAUUCCCGGAGUAGCGGUGAAAUGCGCAGAUACCGGGAGGAACGCCGAUGGCGAAGGCAGCCACCUGGUCCACUUCUGACGCUGAGGCGCGAAAGCGUGGGGAGCAAACAGGAUUAGAGACCCCUGUAGUCCCUGUCUCUUAUAA